UUAACGGAGCGAAAGCGACGUUCAACCGCAAAACAAGCAGAGGGGGCUUAGUGGUGGGGUGACUGCGUACCUUUUGUAUAAUGGGUCAGCGACUUAUAUUCUGUAGCAAGGUUAACCGUAUAGGGGAGCCGGAGGGAAACCGAGUCUUAAUUGGGCGUUAAGUUGCAGGGUAUAGACCCGAAACCCGGUGAUCUAGCCAUGGGCAGGUUGAAGGUUGGGUAACACUAACUGGAGGACCGAACCGACUAAUGUUGAAAAAUUAGCGGAUGACCUGUGGCUGGGGGUGAAAGGCCAAUCAAACCGGGAGAUAGCUGGUUCUCCCCGAAAGCUAUUUAGGUAGCGCCUCGUGAAUUCAUCUCCGGGGGUAGAGCACUGUUUCGGCUAGGGGGCCAUCCCGGCUUACCAACCCGAUGCAAACUGCGAAUACCGGAGAAUGUUAUCACGGGAGACACACGGCGGGUGCUAACGUCCGUCGUGAAGAGGGAAACAACCCAGACCGCCAGCUAAGGUCCCAAAGUCAUGGUUAAGUGGGAAACGAUGUGGGAAGGCCCAGACAGCCAGGAUGUUGGCUUAGAAGCAGCCAUCAUUUAAAGAAAGCGUAAUAGCUCACUGGUCGAGUCGGCCUGCGCGGAAGAUGUAACGGGGCUAAACCAUGCACCGAAGCUGCGGCAGCGAACGUAUCACCCAAGACAACUUUACGGAGUUGACGAUUGACGGAGCGAAGCGACGUCAAAGCGUUCAUUAAAGUCGAGUUGGCUUAGGGAUACGUUCGUUGGGUAGGGGAGCGUUCUGUAAGCCUGUGAAGGUGUGUCGUGAGGCAUGCUGGAGGUAUCAGAAGUGCGAAUGCUGACAUAAGUAACGAUAAAGCGGGUGAAAAGCCCGCUCGCCGGAAGACCAAGGGUUCCUGUCCAACGUUAAUCGGGGCAGGGUGAGUCGACCCCUAAGGCGAGGCCGAAAGGCGUAGUCGAUGGGAAACGGGUUAAUAUUCCCGUACUUGGUGUUACUGCGAAGGGGGGACGGAGAAGGCUAUGUUGGCCGGGCGACGGUUGUCCCGGUUUAAGCGUGUAGGUGUGUGUUCCAGGUAAAUCCGGUUCACUUUAACACUGAGGCGUGACGACGAGGCACUACGGUGCUGAAGCAACAAAUGCCCUGCUUCCAGGAAAAGCCUCUAAGCAUCAGGUAACAC
RNAcentral lists this ribosomal RNA (1186 nucleotides) under Salmonella enterica. RNAcentral's name for it is "partial 23S ribosomal RNA". It matches the Rfam family "Bacterial large subunit ribosomal RNA", at positions 530 to 1637 of the family's 2925-position model. The record is from RNAcentral. Lineage: Bacteria; Pseudomonadati; Pseudomonadota; Gammaproteobacteria; Enterobacterales; Enterobacteriaceae.